GAUCAUGGCUCAGGAUGAACGCUAGCUACAGGCUUAACACAUGCAAGUAGAGGGGCAUCAGAAAGAAAGCUUGCUUUCUUUGCUGGCGACCGGCGCACGGGUGAGUAACACGUAUCCAACCUGCCCUUUACUCGGGGAUAGCUUUUCGAAAGAAAGAUUAAUACCCGAUGGGAUAAUGAUUCCGCAUGGUUUCAUUAUUAAAGGAUUCCGGUAAAGGAUGGGGAUGCGUUCCAUUAGGUUGUUGGUGAGGUAACGG
Molecule: ribosomal RNA, 256 nt
Filed under: uncultured bacterium
Lineage: Bacteria
Description: partial 16S ribosomal RNA
Rfam family: Bacterial small subunit ribosomal RNA
Source: RNAcentral